ACGCUCGACACCUACGGGAGGCGGCAGUGAGGAAUAUUGGUCAAUGGGCGCUAGCCUGAACCAGCCAAGUAGCGUGAAGGAUGAAGGCUCUAUGGGUCGUAAACUUCUUUUAUAUAAGAAUAAAGUGCAGUAUGUAUACUGUUUUGUAUGUAUUAUAUGAAUAAGGAUCGGCUAACUCCGUGUCAGCAGCCGCGGUAAUCUGAGCGGGCUGGCAAGGC
Molecule: ribosomal RNA, 218 nt
Filed under: uncultured bacterium
Lineage: Bacteria
Description: partial 16S ribosomal RNA
Rfam family: Bacterial small subunit ribosomal RNA
Source: RNAcentral